Molecule: RNA transcript, 3826 nt
Organism: Megalobrama amblycephala (Wuchang bream)
Lineage: Eukaryota; Metazoa; Chordata; Actinopteri; Cypriniformes; Xenocyprididae
Gene: ildr1a
Gene name: immunoglobulin-like domain containing receptor 1a
Exons: 8
Source: RefSeq, a predicted model, not a curated record
GGACUGUUAUUUUUAUAUGAAGUUAAUUAUGGCCGCAGGCUUCGGUUCACACUGACCAUCACGGACAAUCACCAGAUUACAGUACGAAACUUCUCAGACAUUCCCCGGCCGGACCAUACGGGACUGAAUGUGUUCAGUCGGGAAAAACAAGCACAUACUAACAGCAACAGACGUUUCUUUGGGUUUUUUCGGAUCAGUGCGUUUCCCUCUCGGCGUCUGUUGCCGUUGGUCAGCGUCUGUCGUUGAGUCAUUUUCACACACGAGGACGUCCCCGAGUGGCUUCAGAGUGGCCUUUUGUCUGAUUUAGCUCACUUCUGGGGACAGUUUUGUCCCUAACUAAACACACACACUUAACGGACAUCUCACACGCUGCCAGAGCCGCUCAAUCCGACGUCUGGCCCGUGUUUGUGGUCUCCAGGAUUCCCUGCGGCCGUGAGAGGGUUUCUGCAGGAACACGAGCGAGGAAGACGGCUGGACGACUCGCUCUCGGUCAGGGUCACACUCGGCUCAUGUCUCAGAUUAAACUGAAAAACAGACAUGACAUUAAGAUCAUCUGUGCUUCUGUCCCUUAUAUUGAGUGUCACACCUGCUCUGAUGAUCCGUGAGAUUACUGACAGUCUGAAGGUGAUUUUUCUGCUGUAUGUCUGUCGACUGACACUAACACUUCAACACAGACACUGAAGCUCCACAGACGUCAGGGUCCGUUCCACUCAUCUGAGGGUCAAAGGUCACUGCACCUCUCUGGAUGUCAUGGGUGGAGCUUUAUGGUCCGGUCACAUCCUAACCUGACCCCUGUAUGUAGCUGAAGCUCCACCCAUCGACUGCAUGUCGAACCGCACUGAGAUUCUGACUCCACCUGCUGGUGACACGAGGAACUUCACCACCUCGCUGAUCUGAAAUCACGUGCUGUAACGUUUACACUAUCAACAAGCGAACAACAUGCUAUAAUAUCGUUUGUAUAUUAUGUUGAUAUUAACAUACUAUUUAUUCAAAUUCUUUCACUAAAAGCCUCAUGUGUUUCAGUGUUGAGAGUGAAUGAGUUUCUGCUGUAAAAUCCUCUGACUCUCUCAGUUUGAUCUGGAUUGAGUUUCUCCAUGAUGCAUGAACUGAAUUCCUCACAGCCUGUGUUAUAACGACAAUGAAAUCACGAUCAAAGAGUCAGAAUAACUCUAAUAGAGCACACAGCGGUUUCACAUCUGUCCUGAAGCAGACAGCAGCAGCGCGGAUCGUGUAGUUUCUCAGGAUGGUUGUUACCUGUGCGCAUGCGCGUCAUGAUACACCUGAUUUGGGGUGGAGUAAUGAUGACGAUGACGAUGAAGGAGGAGGAAGAGGAGAGCGGAGGAAACACAAGCCGGUGUCUGGGAGGGUCACAACUUCACGUUAAAGCGUCUUAUGAGAUGAAAUGCAGUGUUGAAGGAGCUGCUCAUCCGUGACUGUGUCGCUUUUCUCUCGCGCUGGUUUCGGUUCGCGUUCGCUGGAGUUUCAUCGGAUCAUCAUGAGGAGGAUGAUCGUGUCGGUGCUGCUUCUGAGUGUCCUGAUCUCAGGGAUUCUGUCGAUCCAGGUCACUCUCACUGAGACAGAGAGACGCACGACUCUCUUUGCGUCGGUCGUCUUGCGCUGUGAUUAUUCCACCUCCGCACAGCUUCAGAAUGUGAUGGUCACGUGGAAGUUCAAGUCCUUCUGCAAAGAUCCAGUUCUGGACUAUUACUCCACAGCGUAUCAGUCCGCCCUUCAGCUGGGUCAGGAUCCUGCCAAUGACUGCGUGGACUCGCAGCGCACCGUCCGAACCGUGGCUCAGAAACUGGGAUCCAACGAGGCGGUGCUGGGCUCCGAGUACAGAGACCGCAAAGUCUACAUUCAGAACAAGGCGGAUCUGGUCAUCAAUGAGGUGAUGUGGUGGGACAACGGGAUGUAUUUCUGUGCCGUGGAAGCGCCUGGAGACACAGUCGGAGACUCAGACAAAGAGAUGAAGCUGAUCGUGUACCACUGGCUGACGGUGCUGCUGAUCGUGUUGGGCGCGCUGAUGCUCAUCAUCCUGCUGUGCGUGUGCUGCUGUCAGUGCUGUCCGCAGAAGUGCUGCUGUUACGUGCGCUGCCCCUGCUGUCCUCAGACCUGCUGCUGCCCCGAGAAGGCGGUCAUGCAGCACCGGAUGAUGAAGGAGGCGCAGAAGGCCAUGACGCCGUGGAUGAACGGACAGCCGCUCUACGCACCCAUGAGCAACCACAGCUCCUCCUACCAGAUGAACCCCAUGCUGUACGCAGGUUCAGCAUCAGGGAAGGGUCACAUGACGCCGGUUCCGCUGCCGCCUCCACACAUGUCCGUUAACAUGCCGCCUCCCAGCAUCCACGGCAACGGCAGCGUUCACGGGACCAACCAGGUGCUGGACUAUCUGGAGGGUCAGGUGCGCGGCAUGGAUGUGAACGCCCCGCUCUUACAGCCGCAGCACAUGUCGUCCCCUCCGCUGCACAUGCCGCCCCCCCCGCAGCACAUGCCGCAGCACGUCCCCUUCUCCGCCGGCCCUCCCAGCAUGCUCUCCGGCCUGGACGACGGCCCCGCCUCACGCAGGUUCCCGUCCGGGUCACGAGGGGCAGGGCGCUCCAGCGGCUCGUCCGCCUACGGCGCCUCGCACCGCUACCCUCGGCCGGUCAUUCCGCGCAGCUACAGCCAGGAGGACGUCCUGGACGGCCGGAGCCGGUCCGGAGGAUUCCGUCCUCGCUCGCGAUCCAGGGACGAUCUGCUGGCCUUCGAUCCCCGAGGCCCGUCCAGGCGGGACGAUUAUUCUCCUAUGCCCCGCCGCGGCUCGUGGAGCUCGGCCAACGAGGAGGACAGCAGACGCGGAGGCGCCCGAGGAGCUCGGGGAGGCGGAUUUUCCGAUCAUCCGCCCACUUACAGCGAGUACGAGCCCGGGAAGAAGCCAGUCAAGCGGCCGGAACGCUUCUCUGUAAGAGUCUGAGCGGCUCACGCGUUCACUAACACUGUCAGUCUCUCUCUCAAACUAACACGUCUGGUGUUCUGGUGCCGUGAGUAGAUCCAAACGUCUGCAGCCACAUUGGAAAUGUAAAUGAAUGAUAAGAGUUCUCGCAGCGGCACCAGCAUCAUCAUCUGAGGACCAGCGUCUGGAAGCUUCUGUUCAUGAACACAACUGCUUUUACAGAACAUAUUUGAAGGAUGUGAUUCUCUGAACAGAUUGAGGAUUUCUUUGUUUUAUAUUUUUGUGCAGAUCAGUUUAUACACUUGAAUGUGAAUAUGAAUGAAUAUCCUCUUCUAGUACAUGUGUGACAUUAGCUGUGGCUUUCUUGGGUUUGAGGAUUUAUCUGUGUAAAUAUCACGUCUUUUGUGUCAUUUUUUUUUUUUUUUUUUUUUAGCGACCACAGCAUAAAAUGCAAUAUAACGAAGAAUUGGGUUGAGAUUCUGAAAUGCUAAUUAUCAUGUCCAUAAUAAGUUAUUCAGUGUGAUUAGUGAUGAUAGUUUUGAACUCGCUUCAGUGUUUGGCUUCAUAAACACAAAGAGUAACUAAUACAGAAGUGUGUAUUUAUGUUUUAUUGAUCGUGCUCAGGUCAAGCUGUUCUUUAGCCUUUUUGUAAAUAACAUCUUCAUGGAACUUGUUACUGCAUCCAAAGUCCUAAACCAGAAUAUUUUUUCAGUCUUGCCUUUAUAUCAUUUUUAUCUGAAUUACUGAACAGACUCUGUAAUGAUUGUACAUGUUCUAUUUUUCGUAUAUGAAGGACUGUUAAUAUUUUGUCUUUAUAUCAUGCAUCUUAUGUGGACAGAAUUCUUCCUUUUCUACAUGCAUAAAUAAAUCUGCGAAAGCAGCAUAUGCUGACAA